UAAACUGGGAUUAGAUACCCCAUUAUUUUAAAUUGUAAAUUGAAUAGUCUACCUAAGUAUUAUGAAUAUUAAUUUAAAAUUUAAAGGACUUGGCGGUGCCUUAGACUUCUUAGGGGAACCUGUUUUUUAAUCGAUGGUCCUCGUUUUACCUUGCCUUUACUUUGUUUACAGUUUGUAUACCGUCGUCGUCAGUUAACUUUAAAGAAAAUAAAAGUUGUCUUUAAAAAUUUUAGUUUUAGAUGUCAGAUCAAGGUGCAGCUUAUAGAGAGGUUAAUAUGGGUUACAAUUAUUUAAUUAUAUAGGAUAGUUUUGUGAAAUUAUUAUUUGAAAAAGGACUUAAAAGUAAUUUAAUUUAGAUAUAUUUAAUGAAUAUAGCUCUUGGGUGUGUACACACCGCCCGUCACCCUCA
This 409-nucleotide ribosomal RNA is filed under the name Parachondria lineolatus. RNAcentral's name for it is "partial 12S small subunit ribosomal RNA". Lineage: Eukaryota; Metazoa; Mollusca; Gastropoda; Littorinimorpha; Annulariidae. The record is from RNAcentral.